RNAcentral lists this ribosomal RNA (492 nucleotides) under uncultured bacterium. RNAcentral describes it as "partial 16S ribosomal RNA". It matches the Rfam family "Bacterial small subunit ribosomal RNA", at positions 29 to 507 of the family's 1533-position model. The record is from RNAcentral.
AGUGAACGCUGGCGGUAGGCCUAACACAUGCAAGUCGAACGGCAGCACAGUAAGAGCUUGCGCUUACGGGUGGCGAGUGGCGGACGGGUGAGGAAUACAUCGGAAUCUACUUUUUCGUGGGGGAUAACGUAGGGAAAGUUACGCUAAUACCGCAUACGCCCUACGGGUGAAAGCAGGGGAUCUUCGGACCUUGCGCGAUUGAAUGAGGCGAUGUCGGAUUAGCUAGUUGGCGGGGUAAAGGCCCACCAAGGCGACGAUCCGUAGCUGGUCUGAGAGGAUGAUCAGCCACACUGGAACUGAGACACGGUCCAGACUCCUACGGGAGGCAGCAGUGGGGAAUAUUGGACAAUGGGCGCAAGCCUGAUCCAGCCAUACCGCGUGGGUGAAGAAGGCCUUCGGGUUGUAAAGCCCUUUUGUUGGGAAAGAAAAGCAGCAGGUUAAUACCCCGCUGUUCUGACGGUACCCAAAGAAUAAGCACCGGCUAACUUCGUG